This is a long non-coding RNA of Aquila chrysaetos chrysaetos, 3106 nucleotides long. RefSeq lists it as uncharacterized. The transcript is spliced from 4 exons. NCBI's taxonomy places the organism in Eukaryota, Metazoa, Chordata, Aves, Accipitriformes, Accipitridae. The record is from RefSeq and is a predicted model, not a curated record.
UAUGUAUAAAAGCGCUUAUAAGUUUUGCUUGAUAUUGCUGAAAUAUGUUUUUUUUUAAACUAGCCUGUUUCCACAGCUUUCUCAACUGCUGGUGAACACACAGUUGCAACCACAAGAACUGCAGCAAAAUCCGUGACGAAAGGUGGACGGAGACAACCUUCUCUACACCUUCACCAGAGAGCACUAAGAUCUAAGGACUUCCAGGAAGGCAUUACCAUGGGAUGGAUCUGCCACACCUGAUUCAUGCACCUCUUCUCCCUAAGUCGUAAAUCUUGGUGAGGAGUACACGUUUUGUCAUGUUCUGCGCGUGUUCCUGUUGUCUGGGUUUUGGUUGAAAAGGCCAAGUCAGUAACUUGCUCAGAGAGUGCGAGGAGGCGAAGCUUGUGAGGCCCCUUACUCUUGUGUGGGCUCAACGCUUUGGACGCUGCUCCAAGGAGCCUCCGUCUCUGUCAUUGAUGUGCUUCCCUGUUCCAACAGAAAGUGUCAUUGUUCCUGAAAGACAAAGAUAUCACCCAUUUUGGUCUCCUAGGUGAUAUCUUUGUGUACUUAUAUAUGGAUGUGUGUGUGUAUACAUAUGUUUGCUUGCGUGUGUGUAUUUGGUUGAGGUGCUGCCUUUUCUCUACAGUGCUGCCUGGCACCCUCUGUAGUACGAUCUCCAGCAACUUUAUCCCGUCUUGAUUUCUUUUGCUGUUGUCUUUCUGAAGGUCCAGUUUCACGAGACAUUUUGCUGUACAGAAAUCUGAUUUCACUGCUGUAUUUUUUCAAAGGUUCCCACUGUUUAUGAUGGUGGAAGAACUUGCAAAUGCAAGCCAUGCAGGCUCAAAAAAGCAGAAGUUUCAGAAAGUAUUAAUUCAUGAUCCUGAAGCCAAUCUCGCAGGUUUUUUUAUUUUUUUGGAGGCUUCUCUCAUGAAUGUGGAAUGCUUGGGGUUACAACACUGAGCACAGGCCCAAUCAUCAGGUAGUUAAAUUCCUGAAUGCUAUAAUUUGUGUGCCCACAGUCAGCUGUGGGUAUAAAAUUGUGCCCAAAAACUUGGAGGUCAGGGAAUACAAGGUCCAAACUAAGCAGAUUCUAAGCAACAUUUUUUUCCCUCUUUCCACCCCGAUGCUGUGGAGCGUUCCUCUUUGCUGACAAGCCAGCAUGCUCCAGCUUUCCCAGAGGUAUGUCUGUCUGCUUGGUACCUCGAGCAGCUUCCCACUUGCCAGCAAGGUGCCACUGGACCUGGCAAAGGGGGCAGGAUUUGACCCUGUUUGCUCAAUGCUGUGCAUGAAGAGCGACUUAACGUUUUUUUUCCUAAUUGUCCCUCCAGCUCAAUUUUCCUCAGCAAAAUUCCCAUCAAAGCUUUGACCCUGAGCCUUAAAGGUUGUGCCCAGCCCUGCGAAGACAAGACAUGGAGCCAGCAGGAGAGGAAUACAGAUGCUUCAGCUGCGUACUCUUCUUUCUGCUCCUCUGUGAGGCUGUUCCAUCGAGCCCCAAAACAGUAUUUACACUCAGUGGGAUGGGAGACGAGGAACUGAAUUACCGUGCUUACUCCUUCUCUUGUCACGUCCCUAUUUUUCUUAUGUUCAUUUCGAUGGGAGCAGGGAGCCUCUGCUUUGCAGCGGGUCAAUAUCCAGCCACAGCACGAGAUGGUUUUUCCCUGGCACUGGCCAGGGCUUAGCAGGGCUAGGGACCCUCCGAGGUGCCAAGAGGCAUCAGUUCACCUCCUCCUGCCCUUCACCUGCCUCCCUAGGUAAAGCACCCUCUCCCAUAGUAUCCCCACAGAAUGCAUUAAAAAAAACCUUAAGAAGGCCCACUGCUCUCUUCACCCUAGCUCUCCUCUUGGCUAGCAGGAAAAUAAGCCUGGGAUUUUGGGACCUGCUGCCCAUCAGAUGAAAGUCCCUACUAUUAUGAGGAUGAGCGAUAGAGCCUAACCCAUCCGUGCCUCUUCCCUACCUUCUAGAAGAGAAAAUAGCUGCUCCGUUUGAGCAAUAAACUGCUGCAAUUGGUUACAACUUUCUGAAUUUUAUUUUUACAGUGAAAUGUUGCAAAAAGCAAAAAUCUUGAGAAGCACACUUCAAAUCAUCCCCAAACCAAGUGUGAUUGCAGUAUUUCACUCUCUUGUCUAUGGAAUUUGCUGUUAAGCUUGAAGAUAGCUUCCUGAAAGGUUACACCACUGCCGGAUACGGGAAAGAUCCUACAAGAAACAAUCAUAAACUGGUUUUUGGCACCAUUUACUUGUUUCUCCAGAGCAAUAAAAAAGAAACUUAAGAUACUGACCACAUCAUCUCUGGGUGCUACUCUACUAAUAAAACAAAUAAAGACAUGUGGAUUAUGGGAUCCUUUAUAGACCUGCAUGGAACUCAUCUGGCUCAGCUGGCAGGGGUCAUGUAAACCUUCUCCAUCCGUUAGAGUUUGUGUGGUUUCACACCCAACAAAUGUCAAAGCAGAACUCAGCUGUAACUGCCAAGUUUUGUCUGUGUUUGGGUUAAGCCAUAAAAGAACCCACCAAAUUCCACAUCAGUCAUUUCAGAGUUGCAAGAAACCACCCAGGUUCGGUGAAGAGGUCAAGAAUCUGGUGAACAUUUUGGCAAAUAUGGCCCGAACAGUGGCUCAAGAAAACCCUGGUUUUUUCAAAUUUUGUUUAGUCUGACCAACCUGAUAGCUGGUCCAUCCUGAAGCCAAACAAUUUUUGUUCCCUGUAGCUCUUAUUUUGUAUAGAAAUGUUCAGAAUGAAAGCACAGGCACAACUUGUAGUCCUCUUUAGGUAUUUGGACUGUGCUCACUUGCAAGGUUUCUGAGGAUGAAAGGAGUCUCUCUGGUGAAGAGGGUCAUUACUCAUGAGUACAAGGAUAGAGCUGAUGAGGUGACACAAGGUGCUUAGCUCACAGAGGAGAGCAGAAGCGGUGAAAGCCUUUUCACCAGGAAGCUUAGUGAUGACACCGACUCUGGUACAACCCUCCGGAGUGUGCCUCUUCAAGGACAUAAGUGAUCUCACAGAAGUUAAGAGGACUUACUUGUCUAAGGGUCAGAGCCUGCCUGCAAGCUUUGGCGGAUCAAGGCAACAUAGCAUGAAGAAGUACAACAGUGGCAUACUUGGCAGCUCUGUAUUUUCUGACAGCAACAUCA